RNAcentral lists this long non-coding RNA (596 nucleotides) under Ananas comosus (pineapple). RNAcentral's name for it is "long non-coding RNA (ACOM_LNC010643)". The record is from RNAcentral. Lineage: Eukaryota; Viridiplantae; Streptophyta; Magnoliopsida; Poales; Bromeliaceae.
UUAAGUAAAAGCAUAUUAAACUAAUGUUAAAAAAUGUUUGUAGAAAUUGUGUGCAGACAAGUAGAGAUGUCAAUGGGUCGGAUUCGGGGCGGAUUUUCAAAAACCCGAAUCCGAACCUGACUCUAAACUUGAGACCCAAACCCGAACCCGAACCCGAACCCGAGACCCAAACCCGUACCCGAAUCCGACGGAAUUUAAAAAUCUAUAUCCAAACCCGAACCCGACCAAAAAUUCGAAACCCGAACGCGAACCCGAAAAUUUGAGCCCGAAACAAUUAUUUCUUUUUUCGAUAUUUCAAAAUAUAUUAUAUUAAAUCUAAAUUUUUAAAAUAUAAAUUCAAAUAUAACAUCAAAUUUUUAUAUAUAUGUUAUAUAUAAUGCAAAAUAAAUUCAGAUUCGGGUCAGGUUCGGUUCGGAUCGGAUAUAGUCAAAAUUCAUAUCUAAAUUCAUAUCCGUCGGGUUUCUAUUUUUGAUAUCCAUAUCCGAAUCCAUAUCUCUUUAGCAUCGAAUAUAUCCAUUCCAUUCGAAUUCGAAUUCGGAUAAAAUUUCAAAUAUCCAUACCAUUAACAUUCUACAGACAAGGCGGUGGACAAUUUG